CUUAUUCCUCCCAACAAGGUGAAGUGUUUGCUAUGUGCCAGGGAGCUGGGAUAUAACAACAACACCUCAUCCAUGCUUAGGCACUACAGAGCUUUGCAUGAGAAUAAGGGGAACACCGAUUGUGGAGCAAGACCAGGAGAACAAUCUCAAAUAGAUGAAGACCUGGUUAGCAUGGUGAUUGAGGACCCCCAGCCAUUUACCACUGUGGAGGACAAAGGAUUUAAAAGAUUUGUUAAAUCAUUAAAUCCUAGCUAUGUUCUCCCCACUAAAAAGGUCAUAAAAGCAGUGAAAAUUUAGUUUUUACAGAAUAAAAUGUGAACAGGCAGGACUGAGGCUCAAAGCCUCAGUGUGUAGCUGUCCACACCCCAACCACACCUCACCUCACAGUAAAUGAUCAUUUCCAUUUUAAGCAUUUCCAAAUAAUCAUUUUCCAUACUGCCAGCAUAAAUAUACACAGUAUUCUGCCAUAACUACAAUAUACAUGUUUUACACACUCCUUUUGUUGUUGACAUUUACAGGCUGUGUGCAAAAUGCCACACUCUUCAAAUUCAUGCCAACUAAUAUUUUUACGUCCAGUAGAUGUCCUACUAGAGCAAAUGAAGCUUCAAGAAGCUUUGCGCUGGAGUGAACCAAUUGGA
This is a long non-coding RNA of Oreochromis niloticus (Nile tilapia), 638 nucleotides long. RefSeq lists it as uncharacterized. The transcript has 3 exons. The record is from RefSeq and is a predicted model, not a curated record. NCBI's taxonomy places the organism in Eukaryota, Metazoa, Chordata, Actinopteri, Cichliformes, Cichlidae.